Molecule: ribosomal RNA, 329 nt
Filed under: uncultured eukaryote
Lineage: Eukaryota
Description: partial 18S ribosomal RNA
Rfam family: Eukaryotic small subunit ribosomal RNA
Source: RNAcentral
CCCUUAGAUGUUCUGGGCCGCACGCGCGCUACACUGAUGCAUUCAACGAGUCUAAAACCUGCUCUGAUAGGGGUGGGUAAUCUUUUGAAUGUGCAUCGUGAUUGGGAUAGAUGAUUGCAAUUUUUCAUCUUCAACGAGGAAUGCCUAGUAAACGCAAGACAUCAGCUUGCAUUGAUUACGUCCCUGCCCUUUGUACACACCGCCCGUCGCUCCUACCGAUUGAAUGAUCCGAUGAAUAUCAUGGAUUGAGGAUUAUAGCAGGUUCGCCUGUCUUGAUCUUCGAGAAGUGAAGUAAAUCUUAUCAUUUAGAGGAAGGAGAAGUCGUAACA